CCUACGGGAGGCAGCAGGGAGGAAUAUUGGUCAAUGGACGAGAGCCUGAACCAGCCAAGUAGCGUGAAGGAUGACGGCCCGACGGGGUGUAAACUUCUUUUAUAAAGGAAUAAAAUGAGGCACGUGUGCCGUUUUGCAUGUACGUUAUGAAUAAGGAUCGGCUAACUCCGUGCCAGCAGCCGCGGUAAUACGGAGGAUCCGAGCGUUCUCCGGAUUUAUUGGGGUUAAAGGGAGCGUAGAUGGGUUGUUAAGUCAGUUGGGUAAGUUUGCGGCUCACCCGUAAAAUUGCAAUUGAUACUGGCAGCCUUGCGUCCAGUUGAGGUCGGCGGAAUUCGUUGUGUAGCGGU
Molecule: ribosomal RNA, 347 nt
Filed under: uncultured bacterium
Lineage: Bacteria
Description: partial 16S ribosomal RNA
Rfam family: Bacterial small subunit ribosomal RNA
Source: RNAcentral